Molecule: ribosomal RNA, 506 nt
Filed under: uncultured Bacillus sp.
Lineage: Bacteria; Bacillati; Bacillota; Bacilli; Caryophanales; Bacillaceae
Description: bacterial SSU rRNA
Rfam family: Bacterial small subunit ribosomal RNA
Source: RNAcentral
AAGUCUGACGGAGCAACGCCGCGUGAGCGAUGAAGGCCUUCGGGUCGUAAAGCUCUGUUGUUAGGGAAGAACAAGUAUCGGAGUAACUGCCGGUACCUUGACGGUACCUAACCAGAAAGCCACGGCUAACUACGUGCCAGCAGCCGCGGUAAUACGUAGGUGGCAAGCGUUGUCCGGAAUUAUUGGGCGUAAAGCGCGCGCAGGUGGUUCCUUAAGUCUGAUGUGAAAGCCCACGGCUCAACCGUGGAGGGUCAUUGGAAACUGGGGAACUUGAGUGCAGAAGAGGAAAGUGGAAUUCCACGUGUAGCGGUGAAAUGCGUAGAGAUGUGGAGGAACACCAGUGGCGAAGGCGACUUUCUGGUCUGUAACUGACACUGAGGCGCGAAAGCGUGGGGAGCGAACAGGAUUAGAUACCCUGGUAGUCCACGCCGUAAACGAUGAGUGCUAAGUGUUAGAGGGUUUCCGCCCUUUAGUGCUGCAGCAAACGCAUUAAGCACUCCGCCUGG